AUGCUGCUAUGAAUCGCCUUUGUCCCAUGAUCCUGUGCUCACCAGUCCUACAAUUACCCUUUUCUUCCUAGACUUUAAAGUUGGGAUCAGACACAAGGAUACUUUGAUUUCUUUACCCUACACCAGCCACAGUAUCUGAUUUAAUAUAGGAGCUUAAUAUAACUUUAAUGAGGAGAUAAAUGGAUGAAGAAAGACAGGAGUGAAGAAAUGGAGUCACUGCAAAAAUAAAACAACAAAAGGAGCUUACCAGUGUGCAAGCCUCCGGAGCAGGGACAGGCGUUAGUAUAUUUUAUAUUUUUUAAUUGUGGUAGCAUACAAACCACAAGGUUGACUGUCUGUGCCAUCUUCAGGCGCACACUCAGGCUUCUCCAUCCUCAGUGCACACUCAGGUCUCCUCCAUCCUCAGUGCACACUCAGGCCUCCUCCAUCCUCAGUGCACACUCUGGUCUCCUCCAUUCUCAGGUGCACACUCAGGUCUCCUCCAUCCUCAGUGCACACUCAGGUCUCCUCCAUCCUCAGGUGCACACUCAGAUCUCCUCCAUCCUCAGGCGCACACUCUGGUCUCCUCCAUCCUCAGUGCACACUCUGGUCUCCUCCAUCCUCAGGUGCACACUCAGGUCUCCUCCAUCCUCAGGCACACACUCAGGUCUCCUCCACCCUCAGGUGCACACUCAGGUCUCCUCCAUCCUCAGGCACACACUCUGGUCUCCUCCAUCCUCAGGCGCACACUCUGGUCUCCUCCAUCCUCAGUGCACACUCUGGUCUCCUCCAUCCUCAGGUGCACACUCAGGUCUCCCCCAUCCUCAGUGCACACUCAGGUCUCCUCCAUCCUCAGUGCCCACUCAGGCUUCUCCAUCCUCAGGUGCACACUCAGGUCUCCUCCAUCCUCAGGCACACACUAGUGCCCACUCAGGCUUCUCCAUCACACUCAGGUCUCCUGCAUCCUCAGUGCACACUCAGGUCUCCUCCAUCCUCAGUGCACACACAGGCUUCUCCAUCCUCAGUGCACACCCAGGCUUCUCCAUCCUCAGUGCACACUCAGGCUUCUCCAUCCUCAGUGCACAUUCAGGCUUCUCCAUCCUCAGGUGCACACUCAGGUCUCCUCCAUCCUCAGUGCACACUCAGGUCUCCUCCAUCCUCAGUGCACACUCAGGUCUCCUCCAUCCUCAGUGCACACUCAGGCUUCUCCAUCCUCAGGCACAUACUCAGGCUUCUCCAUCCUCAGGUGCACACUCAGGUCUCCUCUAUCCUCAGGCACACACUCAGGUCUCCUGCAUCCUCAGUGCACACUCAGGUCUUCUCCAUCCUCGGUGCAUGCUCAGGUGUCCUCCAUCCUCAGGUGCACACUCAGGUCUUCUCCAUUUUAAGUGCACACACUCAGAUAUUUGUGUCUGUGUUUCCCUGAUGAUCAGUGGUGGUGAACAUCUCUGCAUGCGCUUAUCAGCCACGGGUGAUACCUUAUAUUUUGACGAGGGGUUGAUGGUAGUUAGCCUCAUAGAUGGGCGUUUGAACUUUGUGGUCAAGCAACUCCGCUGCUGUGUUUCUGCCCUGAGUGGCUUGUUACUGUCUCCUCGUUACAUAUUGACCAGCUGUCAGUCUGGUGCCUGGAGCUUUGCACCUGUGAGCUCAUCCGAUUCUCA
RNAcentral lists this long non-coding RNA (1640 nucleotides) under Sus scrofa (pig). RNAcentral describes it as "lncRNA (ENSSSCG00060020764.1)". Lineage: Eukaryota; Metazoa; Chordata; Mammalia; Artiodactyla; Suidae. The record is from RNAcentral.